Molecule: unclassified non-coding RNA, 233 nt
Filed under: plant metagenome
Description: partial contains small subunit ribosomal RNA, internal transcribed spacer 1, and 5.8S ribosomal RNA
Source: RNAcentral
UUUCCGUAGGUGAACCUGCGGAAGGAUCAUUAUUGGAUUUUGAAACUUCAGGCUGCUGCUGGCUCUCCUCGGAGGGCAUGUGCACGCUUGUUGUCCAUUAUUUCUCCCACUGUGCACAAAUUGUAGACCUUUCAGUAGGCCUAUGUUGUUUUUCACAAUCUCUGAAUGUAAUAGAAUGGUUUUGAAUCUUGGGAAAUGCAAUACAACUUUCAGCAACGGAUCUCUUGGCUCUC